Molecule: unclassified non-coding RNA, 300 nt
Filed under: uncultured Archaeospora
Lineage: Eukaryota; Fungi; Glomeromycota; Glomeromycetes; Archaeosporales; Archaeosporaceae
Description: sequence contains 5.8S rRNA gene, ITS2
Rfam family: 5.8S ribosomal RNA (bases 1-71)
Source: RNAcentral
GUGAGUCAUCGAAUCUUUGAACGCAUAUUGCACUCUUUGGUAUUCCGAAGAGUAUGCCUGUUUGAGGGUCAUUUGAAAAUUAAUCAUGACUAUUAGUCCCUAGACUAUUAGUCUUGGAAUAAUGAGUUUUCCAUUCAACAAUCUCUGAUUUGUGGAUGGUAACUCGAAAUCAAUGCUAACGUCUUGGCUUGUAAUAGACGCGUUUAUGUUUAAAUCUUCGCAACUAAUCAAGUCUUGGUAUGGCAUGUUCAAAUUCUUUGACGAAAGUUAAAAAGAGUAGAACAAUUACAUUUUAUAAUC